GACGAACUCUGGCGGCGUGCCUAAUACAUGCAAGUUGAGCGCUGAAGGUUGGUACUUGUACCAACUGGAUGAGCAGCGAACGGGUGAGUAACGCGUGGGGAAUCUGCCUUUGAGCGGGGGACAACAUUUGGAAACGAAUGCUAAUACCGCAUAAAAACUUUAAACACAAGUUUUAAGUUUGAAAGAUGCAAUUGCAUCACUCAAAGAUGAUCCCGCGUUGUAUUAGCUAGUUGGUGAGGUAAAGGCUCACCAAGGCGAUGAUACAUAGCCGACCUGAGAGGGUGAUCGGCCACAUUGGGACUGAGACACGGCCCAAACUCCUACGGGAGGCAGCAGUAGGGAAUCUUCGGCAAUGGACGAAAGUCUGACCGAGCAACGCCGCGUGAGUGAAGAAGGUUUUCGGAUCGUAAAACUCUGUUGGUAGAGAAGAACGUUGGUGAGAGUGGAAAGCUCAUCAAGUGACGGUAACUACCCAGAAAGGGACGGCUAACUACGUG
Molecule: ribosomal RNA, 497 nt
Filed under: uncultured bacterium
Lineage: Bacteria
Description: partial 16S ribosomal RNA
Rfam family: Bacterial small subunit ribosomal RNA
Source: RNAcentral